ACGAGAUAACCGCUGAAAGCAUCUAAGCGGGAAGCUCAUCCCGAGAUAAGGCAUUAUACGUAAUUUAUUACGUAAGGAUCUCCUAGAAGAAGACUAGGUUGAUAGGCUUUAGGUGUAAGCCCUGCAAAGGGUUGAGCCAAGAAGUACUAAUAGAU
Molecule: ribosomal RNA, 155 nt
Filed under: Candidatus Moraniibacteriota bacterium
Lineage: Bacteria; Candidatus Moraniibacteriota
Description: partial 23S ribosomal RNA
Rfam family: Bacterial large subunit ribosomal RNA
Source: RNAcentral